This 27-nucleotide non-coding RNA is filed under the name Mus musculus (house mouse). The record is from RNAcentral. Lineage: Eukaryota; Metazoa; Chordata; Mammalia; Rodentia; Muridae.
UUGUCCCAGCUGUCCCUCUAUUCUUGA